AGAACGAACGCUGGCGGCGUGGAUAAGACAUGCAAGUCGAACGGGUUUAAUUUCGGAGCAAUUCGGAAUUAGGCCAGUGGCGAACGGGUGCGUAACACGUGAGUCAUCUGCCUGAAAGUGGGGGAUAGCUCGUCGAAAGGCGAAUUAAUACCGAAUAUGACUGCGGCUGACAUCAGCCACGGUGGAAAGUUUUUCGGCUAGGGAUGGACUCGCGGCCUAUCAGCUAGUUGGUGAGGUAACGGCCCACCAAGGCGACGACGGGUA
RNAcentral lists this ribosomal RNA (264 nucleotides) under uncultured bacterium. RNAcentral describes it as "partial small subunit ribosomal RNA". It matches the Rfam family "Bacterial small subunit ribosomal RNA", at positions 26 to 285 of the family's 1533-position model. The record is from RNAcentral.